GGGGUCCCAUGCUGGACCUAACCCUGGCUGGCCAUGCAGAACUGGUGGUUAUUGGGCCCUGCAUCCCGACUGGUUUGGUUCUUCCUGUGUAAAAUGCACAAAGAAGCUUGUGCCUCAAAGGGAGGGGCCUGGGAGAACAAGAAGGAUCGGUUCCUGGACCCUGGCCCAGCCCUAGGGACAUGCAUUCAACUGAGUCCUUUGCCGAGGGAGGUUGCUGGCAGAGCUGAAGGAAGCAUUUUUCUCAGGGACUCUGUGAGCUAUGGAGAAGCCCACGGAGCUGCUCAGGGGCCUGCAUGGCACAGAACCCCCCAGAGCUCUGAAGGGGAAUCAGCUAGUUGCUGGGCCCUGCGUUUCUCCAGGAAGACCUAGCUGCUCUGGCCCCUGGGGCUGCAGCUCGGGGGCCACCAGGUCCAGCUCUUCAUUGCAGUCACCAGCAGCAGUAAGGCAGUAAUUAUGGGGCUGUACUGACCUCAAAGGGCUUCCUGCUUUGGCUGAAAGGCCCAGGCAGGAGAAGAGAGACCUGCGGGAGCCCUAGGGGAUGGAGGACGGAUGCUGUGUGAGUGGGUCCUACCCUAAAUGGUCUAAGACCAGUACAGUUGGGUUGGAUCAUUACUGGACUCUGUAACCAUCAGCUGCUGAGACCUGGGGAAACUGGCUACAGAUGGGAUCUUGGUUUUGAGUAUUUGAAGGAUCAUCAAAUCGGGGCCGGGGGGGGGGGCGGGGGGAGAAACUAGCUCUGCAAAGCACAUCAGUGUGUAAACUGUGGGGAGACACACUUUAACUGAGCUUGAGGAAGGAUCAUUCUAAUUGUCACAGCUGUCCAGAGUAGGCGUGGUCUGCCCUGAAUCAGUUCCAACUGAGGUUGUGUGACUCUGGGUCCAAAACCUUGUGUAGAGGAUGUAAGGAGGGGGUAGGAAUGGGGGAAGUGGAGGGAGUAUUUUUCAAAGUGCUGCUGGAGGACCACCUGCAUCAGAUACACCUUGUGGGGAAGAUAUUGAAAUGCAGGUUCCUGGUCCUCCCAGAAAUUCUAAUUUGGUAGGUCUGGGUGUGGCUCCAGUGUUUGCAUAUUUAACACAUGCCCCCCACCAUCUCAGUGUGCACUAGGGUUUGAGAACCACUGCAGCCAGGUGUUUGCAGCUGUGAAACUUGAAGGCUCUACAUCCCAGCGUGUUCUCCCUACCCUUGUGGCACCACCAAAAACUAUUGCAGAGAGAAUCUACAAGUCCGUAACCCACUCACGUCCCCUGUGCCUGAACAUUAAAUAUUAGAAAUGUGAGUAGGAGAAGGAGUAGGUUUCCUAUUAAUUUCUUUAGCCUGAAUUAAAUCUUUUUUUCCCCACAAAAACACUUUAAAGGUUUUUGUCUGAGCCACAUCUGUGACCUACACCACAGCUCAUAGCAAGGCUGGAUCCUUAACCUACUGAGAGAGGAAUCUGACUAGCAUCCAUGAGGACACAGGUUCGAUUCCUGGCCUCACUCAGUGGGUUAAGGAUCUGUCAUUGCCGUGAGCUGCAGUGUAGGUCACAGACAGAGCUCGGAUCUGACAUUGCUGUGGCUGUGGUGUAGGCCAGUGGCUACAGCUCUGAUUCCAUCUCUAACCUGGGAAUCUCCAUAUGCCUCGGGGGUGGCCCCAAAAAGACCAAAAAACAAAAACAAAAAUAAAAAUAAAACCCCACAUGGAUCAAACACAACAGGUCUAUUGGUGACACUGAGCCCAACAUUCUCCAGCUUCCACAUGGACCCCAGGGCAGAACACCAGGAUAUCAUGACUGGGAUCUCUACAGAAUUGCAGGGCAGGGAGGGGCUGCUGCUCGAGAAGGGGAGAACUAGAUGAUGGACUGGAGGAUGGAAGGGAAAACCACUCUCUGUGAAGUCUGUGUGUAUGCCCUGCUGGUUAAAUUAUGAUUCUUGAGAAUAGGGACGGUCUCUCAUUUUCCUCUUCCACCAGCACCUGUCACAGCAAAUGUUCGCAGGAUGGAAUGAAAUGAAUGGAGCAGAGGGAGGGAUUCCCCCUUUGCUGACAGGCUUUCUGUGGGUAGACAGGUGAGAUGCAGGCCCCAUUACCAAGUUACCUUCUGAGUCUCACGGCCUCCUGGAGUAUGUAUAGGAAGGACCCAGAUGAUGCUGUUGUCAUCUUCAAAGUGGGAAAGAGGAAGACUCGUUGCUGAGAAGAGGGUCUGAGUGAGGCAGCCUCCUAACACCAGGCUAAGGGCCACCUCUGAACAACUGGGGGACGUUUCCAUUUUCCCAGUUUAGGCUAGAGGAGCAGUGCCUGCCCCAGGGCACCUGGAGAGCCCAAGGCCACAGGUCCCUGGAAUGAGGUUGCUCACUGGGUGGGCCUGGCCCUCCUGCAAUGUUCCAUCCCUUGCAGGAGGGGCCACAGUAAGUCAGGGGGUAAGAUCAGGUGAAGGUGGGUCAGGGGCUGUGCCUGCUUUGGGAGCAUCACGUUUUCCUCCAGGUCCGUGGCUCCCUGAGGAGGAAGAGCAUCGAGCCCUGGGACUCCUUGUUCCCCAAUUUUGUACUAGCUGGCCGCUGGACCUGAGAGGUCCCCUCUCCCCUCCAGCCCGAUGUGUCCUUGUCACAGAGGGUUGGGAGAUAUGAGCUCUAAGAUUCCUCCCAAGCUUCAUGAUUUUUUGAUCUUCAAGAGAAAGAUGCCUUUUAAAGCCUCCCUGUGGGAGUUGGAGUUCUCCUGGGGCUUUUCACCCUCCCUCCACCCCUCUCCAGCCUCAUCAAAGAUCUGCACCAUUUGCCUUUCCCUGGAUCUACUCCCAUGGUUCUCACCUGCUGCUCCAGUGGGGGGCAAGAAGGGGGGGUGGGCACGGCAUGUGAAACCAUCUACUUUGAGGUGCAAAUUUCCAAAAUUGACCAGUUGGCAGGAAGGAGGCAUUUAUUACAUUUGUUUUCUCCUUCUCCCUCCUGCACUUUGCUGGGACCUGCAUUAGAAUGGGAUCCUCUUGUUUCUAAAGACUCUGAUGCACCCCAAGCAUCUGUGGGUGAAACAUGAAGACAGCGAGUUUCAUGAAGGCUGGGGUCUUUGUCUGCUUAGUUCAGCACUCAGUCCCCAGCACCUAAAAAAAAAAAAAAUGCCUGGCAUGUAGUAGACACUCAAUAAAUAUUUGCUGUAUAAAUGAAUGGAAAGUGAAGGACAAAGCCAGUGGUUUUCAACCCAGGCUGCACAUUACAAUUACUUGGGGAACUUUAAAAAAAUACUGUUGCCUGGGUCUUAUGUGGGAGAUUUUGAUUUAAUGGAUUUGGGUGCAGACCCAGGAAUCAACAUUUUAAAAAGAUUUCCCAGGUGAUUCCCAUGCGUUACAUAAAGCAGGAUUGAACCAAGGAGAUGGGUGACUCCCAAGGACCUGGCCUCUAACCUACAGUCCCAGGGCAGCUCUCCCACCCCCCACUUCCUUCCUAUCCUCCUCUCCUGUCAUCCAAGGAUGGGAUCGUGAAUUGGGAGCUUCCCGGGCUGUAGUGUGAUUUUGACUGGGAAAUACUUAGGAACCAAAUUAUAAAUACAAAAUAGACCUUGGUUCCCCCAAAGAAGGCAAAUUCUUUUUUUUAUAAUUAAUUUUAUUUCAUUUUUAGGGCAACCCUUGUGGCAUAUGGAAGUUCUCAGGCUAGGGGCUGAAUGGAAGCUACAUCUGCCGGCUUACACCACAGCCACAGCAGUGUGGGAUUCUAGCUGUAUCUUCGACCUAUGUCACAGCUCAUGACAACACCAAAUCCUUAACCCACCAAUUGAGGCCAGGGAUGGAACCCAAAUCCUCAAUGGAUAUUAGGCGGGUUCAUUACCGCUGACCACUGAGCCACAACGGGAACUCCAGCAAAUUAUAAAAGGCAUUAAAUUCAUCCAAUCACAAAUCAUAAAACACUGAUCAAGGACUUACUAUGUUCAGGGGAGUUGCUGGGUGGUCUAGUGGUUAGGACUUGGCGCUUUCACCACGGUGGCCUGGGUUCGAUCCCUGGUCUUGGAACUAAGAUCCCUCACCACCCCAUGGC
This 3995-nucleotide long non-coding RNA is filed under the name Sus scrofa (pig). RNAcentral's name for it is "lncRNA (ENSSSCG00050028139.1)". The record is from RNAcentral. Lineage: Eukaryota; Metazoa; Chordata; Mammalia; Artiodactyla; Suidae.